UACGGGGGGGGCAAGCGUUGUUCGGAAUUACUGGGCGUAAAGGGCGCGUAGGCGGUCCGCUAAGUUGGAUGUGAAAACUCUGGGCUUAACCCAGAGCCUGCAUUCAAAACUGACGGGCUAGAGUUCUGGAGGGGGUAGCGGAAUUCCUGGUGUAGCGGUGAAAUGCGUAGAGAUCCGGAGGAACACCAGUGGCGAAGGCGACACGCUGGGCCGUACCUGACGCUAAGGAGCGAAAGCGUGGGGAGCAAACAGG
Molecule: ribosomal RNA, 253 nt
Filed under: uncultured bacterium
Lineage: Bacteria
Description: partial 16S ribosomal RNA
Rfam family: Bacterial small subunit ribosomal RNA
Source: RNAcentral